RNAcentral lists this transfer RNA (81 nucleotides) under Hypoxylon fuscum. Its description in RNAcentral is "tRNA-Gly". Lineage: Eukaryota; Fungi; Ascomycota; Sordariomycetes; Xylariales; Hypoxylaceae. The record is from RNAcentral.
GCAUCAGUGGUUUAGUGGUAAAAUCCAUCGUUGCCAUCAUACAACAUCGAUGGGCCCCGCGUUCGAUUCGCGGCUGAUGCA